GGGGCUAUGGCGCAGCUGGUAGCGCACCUGCAUGGCAUGCGGGGUCGGGGUUCGAGUCCCCUAGCUCCACCA
Molecule: transfer RNA, 72 nt
Filed under: Kocuria rhizophila
Lineage: Bacteria; Bacillati; Actinomycetota; Actinomycetes; Micrococcales; Micrococcaceae
Description: tRNA-Ala
Rfam family: tRNA
About the family: Transfer RNA (tRNA) molecules are approximately 80 nucleotides in length. Their secondary structure includes four short double-helical elements and three loops (D, anti-codon, and T loops). Further hydrogen bonds mediate the characteristic L-shaped molecular structure. tRNAs have two regions of fundamental functional importance: the anti-codon, which is responsible for specific mRNA codon recognition, and the 3' end, to which the tRNAs corresponding amino acid is attached (by aminoacyl-tRNA synthetases). tRNAs cope with the degeneracy of the genetic code in two manners: having more than one tRNA (with a specific anti-codon) for a particular amino acid; and 'wobble' base-pairing, i.e. permitting non-standard base-pairing at the 3rd anti-codon position.
Source: RNAcentral